UGGGGGUAUAGCUCAGUUGGGAGAGCACCUGCCUUGCAAGCAGGGGGUCAAGGGUUCGAACCCCUUUAUCUCCA
Molecule: transfer RNA, 74 nt
Filed under: Lachnospiraceae bacterium
Lineage: Bacteria; Bacillati; Bacillota; Clostridia; Lachnospirales; Lachnospiraceae
Description: tRNA-Ala
Rfam family: tRNA
About the family: Transfer RNA (tRNA) molecules are approximately 80 nucleotides in length. Their secondary structure includes four short double-helical elements and three loops (D, anti-codon, and T loops).
Source: RNAcentral